Molecule: long non-coding RNA, 1597 nt
Filed under: Diabrotica virgifera virgifera (western corn rootworm)
Lineage: Eukaryota; Metazoa; Arthropoda; Insecta; Coleoptera; Chrysomelidae
Description: uncharacterized LOC126878987
Source: RNAcentral
CCCCUUAUAGAAUCGAUUAUUGAUGGGAAGAUAUUAUUUAACUAUCCAAAAUAUUAUUUAAUUAUUUUCAGAAUUAUUUUCUUUCAAUGUUUAUUCAAAUAGAACUUAAACCCAUCUCAGAAUUUUUAAAUGCUUGAUGACGUCACAUUUAAAACGUGGCAACAUUGGUUUCCCCACUUUGACAGCCAAUGCUUAGUAGAGGGGUACGAAGGAUUCAGCUGUGAACGUGAGCCUUGGAUUGCCAUUGUUUCUCGAGUGUUCGGUCUGAAUCGUAGUGUGCGGGGUCAUUAGACUCAAUUAUUCACCUCUAAUUCUCAGUUCCAAAUUGAUUAAAUAUUACAAUAAAAGUAUAGUGAAGUUAUCCAGCAGCAGUGGAUUUGAAGAAUUUUAGAGCAUACUAUAUCCAAUGAGUUCUACCCCGCACCUACCAUGAAAUCUUAAAGCCACCCUACAACAACACCAAGGCCAGACCACACAGAGAGAAACAAUCAAUAGGCGACCAGCCUGGAUUAUUUCCACAUUUUCUUUUUUUUGAGUACCUCCAGCUGCUUUCCAACAGUUUUGAGUACCUUCAGCUGCUUUCUACCAGUCUUCCUCUCCUGUACCUCCAGCAGGACAGCUGCUAGCGAGAGUUAGCACCCUUGGGUGCUCAUUACAUCAACUUCAAGAUUAGGAAAGAGUGGUUUGUUUGGGAACAUUUACUGUGCUCUUAUUAAAGACAGACUGGUUUUGUGAUAUUUAGUACAUUUUUUUUUAUAGUUCAAUUGCACACACAAUUUUCCUGCUUUAUAUUUUUUAUAGGUUUUUUUUCUUUACAACAUAAUAUUUAAUUGAUAGCGUUCCCCAACACUCUGCAAUCUAUAAAGGUAUAAAUUUCUGAGCUCAGAUAUUUUCCCUGAUAAUAGUAGUCGGUACUCUUAUCUUGAUUAUUUUUAGGCUGUGUUCCACUUUUGUAGAAUUAUUUAAACUCAUUCCAUUAUUUUAGUAUAUGUUUAAUUAAAUUUUUAAAAAUUAACUUCACAUAUUAGUCAAAAUUGUAAUUAUUAACUUUAUUUAACUUGAACUUAUUAACUUUACUUAACUUUAACUUAUUAACUUUAUUUAACUUUAACUUUAAUUUAUUAAAUUCAUAUGAACUUCUGGAUUCUAAUCCCUCAGAUUAGUUUUUGGUUUCACUUGUUAUUAUUACUAUUAUAAACCACGAGUUAGGAAAAGGAUCUGUGUAUCCACUCGUAGGUUUAUUUAUUCAAUAAGGCUUGUGCCUGUCCCACUCACAGUGAGGUAUUUAUAUGUUAUAUAUAGUAUCAGGUAGUAUUUAAUUAAGGUGUACGUAUUAUAAACGUACAAUUAUUAUUUGGUGAGGGUUCUACUAACCUAGUUGUAAGUUGUACUUCCUGUAUUAGAGGUACCCGUAGUCAGUUUUUCUAACCUUAUAAAGAGUAUUCUUAGAUCAUAGUUGUAUGAUGAUUUUGUAAUUGACUUUCACUAGUAUCACUUUUUCCUGUCAUGUUAGAGUUACACACUAGUUACUUGUCCUAACUCAGAGAUUGUUAAAAAGAUCUAGUAGUUACAUUCAAUAAAUAUACAUUUAUUGUGA